AGGGGAGGCGCCCAAGAGGGUGUCAACGCCGGAGUAUUUGCAAGACUUGCAGUAAACAACGCCUUGCACCGCUACAAAGCUUCUUGGGAAAGGUUUCUUAGGCGGGAACUGCGGAGGGUGAACCGGGGGGUGGCUUGGGCUCUGAAUCGGUGGGUGAGCCGGUGGUGCAUGGUGGGUUGGAGGGUGACUCGGGGGUUGAACUGGGACGUGAGUAGGAGGGUGAGCCGGUGGGUAGCCAUGGUGGUGGUGGUGGCUUGGUGGGUGGACCGGGGAAUGGGUUGGAGGGUGAACUGGUGAAUGGGUUGGAGGGUGGACCGGUGAAUGGGUUGGAGAGUGAACCGGUGGGUGAACCGGGGAGGCAGUAGGAGGGUGUGGGUGUGGGUGUGGGUGGUGGUGGUGGUGGUGGUGUGUUGGUGGGUGUGCAGGGGAAGCUACUGGGUGUGAAUAGUGAACAUGGUGGUGGGGAGGAGAGCUUGGGGGUAAAACAUCAAUUACAUUUCCAAACACAGUGAAGCAACUCAGUAGAAGAACUGAGAGCUGCACAAAGACUAGAGCUUUAGCUUCACCAAAACCCAUAUUUUCUUUC
This 586-nucleotide long non-coding RNA is filed under the name Prunus persica (peach). RNAcentral describes it as "long non-coding RNA (PPER_LNC003978)". The record is from RNAcentral. Lineage: Eukaryota; Viridiplantae; Streptophyta; Magnoliopsida; Rosales; Rosaceae.